UACGGGGGGAGCAAGCGUUGUUCGGAAUUACUGGGCGUAAAGGGCUCGUAGGCGGCCAACUAAGUCGGAUGUGAAAUCCCCAGGCUUAACCUGGGAACUGCAUCCGAUACUGGAUGGCUUGAAUCCGGGAGAGGGAUGCAGAAUUCCAGGUGUAGCGGUGAAAUGCGUAGAUAUCUGGAGGAAUACCGGUGGCGAAGGCGGCAUCCUGGACCGGCAUUGACGCUGAUGAGCGAAAGCUAGGGGAGCAAACGGG
This 253-nucleotide ribosomal RNA is filed under the name uncultured bacterium. RNAcentral's name for it is "partial 16S ribosomal RNA". It matches the Rfam family "Bacterial small subunit ribosomal RNA", at positions 524 to 776 of the family's 1533-position model. The record is from RNAcentral.